UACGGAGGGUGCGAGCGUUGUUCGGAAUUAUUGGGCGUAAAGCGCGCGCAGGCGGCCUGGGAAGUCUAUGGGUGAAAUGCCGGAGCUCAACUCCGAGCGUGCCCAGGAUACUCUCAGGCUGGAGACACGUAGAGGCAAGCGGAAUUCCGGGUGUAGCGGUGGAAUGCGUAGAGAUCCGGAAGAACACCGGAGGCGAAGGCGGCUUGCUGGGCGUGAUCUGACGCUGAGGCGCGAAAGCGUGGGGAGCGAACAGGAUUAGAAACCCCGGUAGUCC
RNAcentral lists this ribosomal RNA (274 nucleotides) under uncultured bacterium. RNAcentral's name for it is "partial 16S ribosomal RNA". It matches the Rfam family "Bacterial small subunit ribosomal RNA", at positions 524 to 796 of the family's 1533-position model. The record is from RNAcentral.